AACGCAAGUUGCGCCCGAAGCCAUUAGGUUGAGGGCACGUCUGCCUGGGUGUCACAUGAUGCGUCAUGCCAAACCCUCGCCCACAUUUGAUGUCGGUCGGGGAUAUUUUGGGGUGGAUGUUGGCCUCCCGUGCACUUCUUUUGUGAGUGGUUGGUUGAAAAAUACGAGUUCCUAAUGCACGCUUUAUGGUGAUUGGUGGUUGUUACACCUGUGCAUUGCGUCGUGCUCCAUUGCUCGUGCUGUGCCAAUAUAGGGACUUGUCUUUGACCCUUUAGUAUUGUCUUCGAGAUGAUACCUCUACUGCGACCCCCAGGUCAGGCGGGGCUACCCGCUGAGUUUAA
This 341-nucleotide unclassified non-coding RNA is filed under the name Santalales environmental sample. RNAcentral's name for it is "sequence contains 5.8S rRNA gene, ITS2, 28S rRNA gene". The record is from RNAcentral. Lineage: Eukaryota; Viridiplantae; Streptophyta; Magnoliopsida; Santalales.